Molecule: transfer RNA, 46 nt
Filed under: Asplenium adiantum-nigrum
Lineage: Eukaryota; Viridiplantae; Streptophyta; Polypodiopsida; Polypodiales; Aspleniaceae
Description: partial tRNA-Arg
Source: RNAcentral
CUCUUGUUUGUUCACGGUGGGUAAAGUUUAGUGAUCAAAGUGCAUA